Melanotaenia boesemani (Boeseman's rainbowfish) is the source of this 244-nucleotide long non-coding RNA. RefSeq lists it as uncharacterized. NCBI's taxonomy places the organism in Eukaryota, Metazoa, Chordata, Actinopteri, Atheriniformes, Melanotaeniidae. The transcript has 4 exons. The record is from RefSeq and is a predicted model, not a curated record.
UCGUGUGUACUUGAAUGCAGCAUAGUGGCGUAACAGCUGCGCAUGCGCCACGGAAUCCAGUUCGACGGUUUGUUUUAUUUUGGCGGCUACAGACGGAGCGGAGAGCUGCUGGAGUCUUCAGAAAAGAACCAGAAUGGAGGAGCAGAACCAGGACCAGAACCCCACGAGGAGGAACAAAGCGGGAUCAUCCUCUGAUACCACCGGUCGGCAGUAAAAGUUUGUGCUGAAACAGUGCGAUGUUGUU